RNAcentral lists this ribosomal RNA (497 nucleotides) under uncultured bacterium. RNAcentral describes it as "partial 16S ribosomal RNA". It matches the Rfam family "Bacterial small subunit ribosomal RNA", at positions 28 to 507 of the family's 1533-position model. The record is from RNAcentral.
GACGAACGCUGGCGGCGUGCCUAAUACAUGCAAGUUGAGCGCUGACGGAUGGUACUUGUCCCAACUGGAUGAGCAGCGAACGGGUGAGUAACGCGUGGGGAAUCUGCCUUUGAGCGGGGGACAACAUUUGGAAACGAAUGCUAAUACCGCAUAAAAACUUUAAACACAAGUUUUAAGUUUGAAAGAUGCAAUUGCAUCACUCAAAGAUGAUCCCGCGUUGUAUUAGCUAGUUGGUGAGGUAAAGGCUCACCAAGGCGAUGAUACAUAGCCGACCUGAGAGGGUGAUCGGCCACAAUGGGACUUGGACACGGCCCAAACUCCUACGGGAGGCAGCAGGAGGGAAUUUUCGGCAAUGGACGAAAGUCUGGCCGAGCAACGCCGCGUGAGGGAAGAAGGUUUUCGGAUCGGAAAAGUCUGUUGGUAGAGAAGAACGUUGGUGAGAGUGGAAAGCUCAUCAAGUGACGGUAACUACCCAGAAAGGGACGGCUAACUACGUG